GGAAGACGAGGAGAACAAGGUGGACGAGGAGGACGAGGAUUUGUGCACGGGUUAGAAUUAUCUGAUUUAAAAAGAGUCCUGCAAAACGAUUUUGGGAUAUGCUGAUAUCGAUUUAUUCACACCCAGUAUCAACAUAAUUUUGCAACGAAUCAAAACUUACGGCUGAAAAACAUCAAAUUUGCACUGGAUUUUUAACGAGGUGGAUAAGAAAAAUCACAAACUCGUAGGGACAAAGUUCCAGUUCCAGUUUAUUCAAUGCAGUACAAGUGUUCAGGUGUCAGUGUAUACUACUUUACCAAGUUUCCAAAUACUAUGAAUCUAUUAUGUUAUACUAGUACAUUACACUAAUGAUUUUAUACCAAUAAUUACUAUAAUAAUAUUUUCAUUGAUAUAAUUAGUAUGUUAUUUCUAUAUAGAAUAGAUACUGCGAUAUGUAUUGCAUUGAGCAGAAUAUGAACAAUGUUGUAUAAAAUGGUUCUUAAUGUUGUUUGUAAGCGCAGUUUGGGUUCCAGUCUGAGUACCUACAAUGCUAAAAGCUACAAUGCACCUCUGCAGGAUUCAAGAUGUGUAAUGUUGUAUUACUAUUAUAUGUAAUAUUGAAUAAAUUGAAUAACAUCUACUGGAA
RNAcentral lists this long non-coding RNA (625 nucleotides) under Neodiprion lecontei (redheaded pine sawfly). RNAcentral describes it as "uncharacterized LOC124292777". Lineage: Eukaryota; Metazoa; Arthropoda; Insecta; Hymenoptera; Diprionidae. The record is from RNAcentral.